This 545-nucleotide long non-coding RNA is filed under the name Phoenix dactylifera (date palm). RNAcentral describes it as "long non-coding RNA (PDAC_LNC021965)". Lineage: Eukaryota; Viridiplantae; Streptophyta; Magnoliopsida; Arecales; Arecaceae. The record is from RNAcentral.
GGGGUGGGCAAGAGGCGAGGCUCGCGAGCACUAGGGGAGGCGAGGGUUGCAAAUCGAAUGGAUGGGCCAGCAGGUGAGGGCGCUUUAUACUGAACCAAAUGGAUAGUUUGAACUUUGAACUGUGCUGGUAGUAGACCGUUUUGGUUCGAUAUGCCCCAAACUUGCUGGUUCGAUAUAGUUUGGCAAACAUUACUUUGAAUUGCAGUCAUCUGAAGUAUGUACCCCUUUUUUUUAAUGAAUUAUCUUAUGCUCAUGUUUGUAGUAUGUAAUUUCUUUUUUCCAAAUAAAUUGUACUUUGCCAUCUUAUGCUUAGAUAAUUUUUUUCCAAAUUUGCAGUAUUCUAAUGUCAAAUCUAAUGAACUUGCUGAAGUUCAUGUGAAUACUUCACCUGGAUCUGUCAAAUAUGUGCUCUCCAAGUAAUAUGGGAGAUAUCAAAUUAACUGUUGUUAAAAGCAAGUUAUAUAUUGCUGAAGUUCAUGUGAAUACUAUGGUUCUUUUCUUUUAAAUUAUUAGAUGAGUGUAUAACCUUCUCUGCAAGACUGGAA